This 261-nucleotide long non-coding RNA is filed under the name Fukomys damarensis (Damara mole-rat). Its description in RNAcentral is "lncRNA (ENSFDAG00000022225.1)". Lineage: Eukaryota; Metazoa; Chordata; Mammalia; Rodentia; Bathyergidae. The record is from RNAcentral.
GCAGCAGGGACACUGUGGGGAUCUCCCCAGCUUGCUAGAAAUGAUUCUAGCAAGAUUGUGUGGCAAGUAGAGAAGGGCGGCCACGCGAGCCAUCCUUGCAGCAAGGGACAAGGCACAGUGAUGGGGAAAGUCUUCAUUUUUCUACACCAGAUCCUGCUCUUUUAGGCUCUUGUUCAGACUCGACUUGGGUCCUUUCUGUGCCCCUGAGCUGGCUCCGGACAGAGGAUAUUCAUAUUUGGCGCAGCUGCUCAGACGCUUCAU